This 460-nucleotide ribosomal RNA is filed under the name uncultured bacterium. Its description in RNAcentral is "partial 16S ribosomal RNA". It matches the Rfam family "Bacterial small subunit ribosomal RNA", at positions 338 to 795 of the family's 1533-position model. The record is from RNAcentral.
CCUACGGGUGGCAGCAGUGAGGAAUAUUGGUCAAUGGACGAAAGUCUGAACCAGCCAUGCCGCGUGCAGGAAGACGGCUCUAUGAGUUGUACACUGCUUUUGUACGAGGGUAAACGGAGAUACGCGUAUCUGUCUGACAGUAUCGUACGAAUAAGGAUCGGCUAACUCCGUGCCAGCAGCCGCGGUAAUACGGAGGAUUCAAGCGUUAUCCGGAUUUAUUGGGGUUAAAGGGUGCGUAGGCGGUCUGAUAAGUUAGAGGUGAAAUCCCGAGGCUCAACUGCGGAAGUGCCUUUGAUACUGUUCGGCUAGAGAGGAGUUGCGGUAGGCGGAAUGCAUGGUGUAGCGGUGAAAUGCUUAGAGAUCAUACAGAACACCGAUUGCGAAGGCAGCUUACCAAGCUACUACUGACGUUGAGGCACGAAAGCGUGGGGAGCAAACAGGAUUAGAUACCCGAGUAGUC